Non-coding RNA from Pelobates cultripes (western spadefoot toad), 312 nucleotides. The record is from the annotation of a GenBank genome assembly. NCBI's taxonomy places the organism in Eukaryota, Metazoa, Chordata, Amphibia, Anura, Pelobatidae.
UUAGUAUCACCUUGGGCCUGGCUGACAAAUGCUGAGUUAAUCAUUUGAGAAUUCUCAGGGGCCUCUGGAUUAAGAGGAGUAUACAAUCUAUAUGACUCCAAUAAUCUUUCAUAAAAGGCACUAGGUGACUCAUCAACCUUUUGCAACACCUCAACCGUCUUUGACAUAUUUAUUGCCUUCUUCCCUCCUGCCUUCAUGCCAGCAAUAAUGGCUUCCCGAUAAGCCCUUAAUUGGGGCAUGUCAGCACCAUUCACAUUCCAAUUUGGGUCAACAUUUGGAUAAUGGGCUGCAGCCCAUACAGCUGGAUUGGCC